This 400-nucleotide ribosomal RNA is filed under the name uncultured bacterium. Its description in RNAcentral is "bacterial SSU rRNA". It matches the Rfam family "Bacterial small subunit ribosomal RNA", at positions 28 to 429 of the family's 1533-position model. The record is from RNAcentral.
GACGAACGCUGGCGGCGUGCUUAACACAUGCAAGUCGAGGGGGCAGUUGGGGCAACCUGGCUGUCACCGGCGAACGGGUGCGUAACACGUGAGCGACCUACCUCCUUGCGGGGGAUAGCCGGCCCAACGGCCGGGUAAUACCGCAUACGCUCAUUUCCGGGCAUCCGGGGGUGAGGAAACUUUUCGGGCAGGGAGAGGGGCUCGCGGCCUAUCAGCUAGUUGGCGGGGUAACGGCCCACCAAGGCAUCGACGGGUAGCUGGUCUGAGAGGAUGGCCAGCCACAUUGGGACUGAGAGACGGCCCAGACUCCUACGGGAGGCAGCAGUGGGGAAUCUUGCGCAAUGGCCGCAAGGCUGACGCAGCGACGCCGCGUGGGGGAGGAAGGGCUUCGGCUCGUAAA